UUUACUGCCAUGAGUCCACACCUCCAAACCCAAUUGGCCAAACAAAAAAUCCAGUUCCAGUACAACCCUCCUAAUGCCCCACAUUUUGGAGGAACGUGGGAGCGGGAAAUACGCUCAGUCAAAGCCGCUCUGCGUAGUACAAUAGGAUCCCAAACACUAACAGAGGAAGUCCUAAGAACACUUCUCAUAGAGGUUGAGUCUAUACUCAAUGCAAAGCCACUAGGAUAUGUCUCUUCUGAUGUGGGAGAUCCAGAUCCAGUAACCCCUAACUACCUUUUAAUGGGGCGGCCAGAUUCAUCACUACCCCAAGUGGUGUACCCCGAAUCUGAAAUACUUAGUCGGAAAAGAUGGCGACACUCACAAGUAUUGGCAGAUCGAUUCUGGGCAAGUUUCAUCAGAAAUUACCUCCCCACUCUGCAGACACGUCAGAAAUGGAUGAAAGACUCAGAAAACCUCACUCCUGGAACUAUUGUGAUGAUAGUGGAUCACCACCUUCCUCGGGCUCAGUGGCCUGUUGGGAAAGUAAUAAAUACCUACCCUGGAUCGGAUGGUCGCGUCCGCUCAGUAGAGAUCCAGGUGAAAAACAAAAACUACCACCGACCAGUGGCUCGUCUUAUCAAACUACCAGACAUCCCUGAGGAUAACCAAAAGACGGACUAAAUAAGGAAUAGUGGAAGUACAUUUGCACAGCAAAUGUAGGGGCGGCUGUAGAAAAGGUAGAAUUAUAGCAGCCUCUGCUGGACACUUGUUCUCCGGGUAUCAGACACACUCAGAUAGAGGCACCGCUCACGUGCUGGUCACGGAAAUUUCCACAGCGAUCAUGCAUCAGUCGCGUGAGCGAGCGGCCAAUCAGAGCGCAGUAUCAAUCUGAUGAUGCUGAGGAGAACUUUAGUUUCGUAAGAUGUAAAGUGUUUAUUGUGUGUCCUAAGUUCAUCCAGUGUUGUGUGCGUCUGUAACUAAAAAAAAGCAGAUGCCUCAAGCAGAUUCCAGCAGCUGUGAAAGUGAAUACGUGGAGAGGGCCGUGUUUUAUUUCCUGUGGGGUCCAAAUGGGAACGUCUAAAGAGAGAGGUCGUAUAGAAAAGACCAGAAAAUGGUGGGAUAGGCCUCCCAGACCCACGACUGUUUCUAACGAGACGAUUUACUGCCCUGCACAUUAGUUACGCAGUGACCCCAUCCAACGGAAACAAGACGACAGCUAUGGUCAGAUAUUGGAUGGGGUCCUACCUAAGAUUUUUAACAAUUCUACCAGUUGAUUUAAAAACUACAGUAUCUUUUAAUUUGCCUCAAGAGUACAGUUUUAUCAAGACAUUUUUAAAGAAAUACAUGUUAGAAAACAAGAUGUUAAUGUUUUAACUAAUCACAAAUCUUUGAUCUCUCUUGUACAGGACCGGGAAACAGUGAGCCCAGUUCCAGGCCUCACAUUAGGUGAGGCCCAGCAAGUGUGGAGGAACGCUGCCCACCCCGCUCUUCAGAACAGACACAAAGAUUUGGCGUGGUUGGUCGCCCAUGAUAACUUCCCAGUCAGGGCGGUAAUGCACUCCCGGGGUAUGGCGAGGAACCCAGUCUGCCCACAGACUGGGUGCAACCUUCCAGAGACCGUACGACAUCUGCUUUGGGAGUGCGGUAAUGCGAGGGACCUGGGGUCCAGAUGGAUUUCAAGCUCGCAGUCCAGGGGGUGGGUCGGGGCUUGAAGGAUUUGUCUGCCCAACAAUUCUCCUCGCUCUGGCUCACCCUAAGCGCCAUUAAGGACGCCAUCUGGACUGCCAGGAACCUGCUGGUGGGGAAACGUGUUACGGUGCCUCUCCACGCACGCGAGCGGAUGGUUAGAUCUAUGCUGCAGGGGCACCGGACAUAAUAAUUCGGAUGAAGGGGCCGGGGUCGCACAGGGAGGUCCCAGCUUGCCACCGUGCCUGGCUGCCCGUAGAUGCACCCAGACAACCAUCGGCUACGGGAACAGUGGGCCAGCAGGCCGGAGGGUGGGGAUCUCCGCUGGGCACCAAAGGAAUAAAACGUUUGUUCUGUAGAGUGGGGUGACGGCCAUGUUGGUAAGGGCUCACCCCCGGCCCUGGACAAUUGAGGACAUUUUUUAAUUGUUUUAGGUUGUUGUGUUUUACCUAGAUAGCCACUUUAUUUUAUGUAUUUCUUAAACCCAUCGGCUUUUAUUAUUUCUCUUAAUACCCAGAAAAGAUUUUAUUGUCAUAUUUCUUUAAAAAGUCUUAAAUACUAUUUAUUGUCUGACAUUUUAAAGAUAUUUUAUUGAUAUAAAUGACAGCUAUACAAGUGUUUUCAUACAAAUAAGCCAUGUGUGUUUGUAAAAAAAGAUGUGGUGUAAAUAAAACUUUUCGAAAGAAAGAAAAAAAAGCUGUUCUUAUCAGGAGAAAAUAAGGUUUUUAAACACAUAUCAUCUUAAUGUUUUUUAUUUAACAUCCUUUUAUUUUCUCUUUUAAAAACCUUCAUAGGUUUUUAAGUGAACUACCUUGUAUUUAUGUGUUGUUUAUAGUGUACCAAUGUAAA
This is a non-coding RNA of Paramisgurnus dabryanus, 2514 nucleotides long. The record is from RefSeq and is a predicted model, not a curated record. Lineage: Eukaryota; Metazoa; Chordata; Actinopteri; Cypriniformes; Cobitidae.